Capsicum annuum is the source of this 617-nucleotide long non-coding RNA. RefSeq lists it as uncharacterized. NCBI's taxonomy places the organism in Eukaryota, Viridiplantae, Streptophyta, Magnoliopsida, Solanales, Solanaceae. The record is from RefSeq and is a predicted model, not a curated record. The transcript has 2 exons.
UUAGUCUCAAACAGGAAGAGGAAGUUUCUAGUCACUAAGUGGCUACCGACGGAGAUCUGAAAUAAAGAAGGAAAGAGGCAAGUUAUGCACACGACAUUUGCUUAUGGGACAGCUCUACUGCUUCUGCUUAAAAAAUGCUUAAAGGAGAAGUUACUGAAAACAAAGAAAGAGGUAGCAGCCUGGAGGUUGUUGAAAGAUUAGAAGAAUGUAGAACUAAGUUACUGAAAACAAGGAAGAAGGUAGCAGCCUGGAAGUUGUUGAAAGAUUAACCAAAUAUCAUAUCAAAAGAAUGUAGAACUCUGACUAAUGUCGACAAACAAGGUAAAAAACUGUCCAAAUGAAGAACUGCAGCAGCUUGAUAAGCAAAUAGAAUCUCUGGAGAUAUUGAAAUUACUGCAUAUCCGUGAACCAGAGGUGUCUCAAUAAAAUUAGUGGUCUAAACCCUUUUAACAGGAGCUCUUACAUAUAUAAACAAUCAAAAAAAAAAAUACACUCUAAUAAUGUCUUAUUUGUUCGUAGUUGUUUCGAUGUAGUAUUUUUAAAAGACACCUAAGUUUUAACUUCACAUAUUAAUAUGAUUAUUAAUAAUAAAAGUAAGAAUUAAUUCUUGUUAAUAA